AUGCUCCGGAUGGGGAAGCACAUAUUUCUCAUGGUUCUCCCUCAGGGAAUGCUGCCUGAAGCCAAAACCCUUUUUUUACGCAGCUCUAUAGGUGCUUCUGCUUUGGGAUUUUUCACUAAGUGUUGCUAUAGGAACUUAAUUGCUUCUGUUCAUCCAGGUCUGAGCAGCUCCCUGCUCCCACUCCUCUUCUCUCAUGGCUGGCAGCAUCGGGGCUCUGAGGACAGCAGAGGAUGCUCAGCCUGAAGAGGACAAGUUGUCUCUUUCCCAUUACCCUCUCUUUGAAAAAGCAGCUUGAAGAUUACACAGUCAAGCCCACAAAAGCUGGGAAAGGAAAAAUAUUAUACUGGGCUGCCCUACAGUGCCAUCGCUUACACCCAGCCAGACCAGUAACUCCAUCAGCACGGUCUGCUCUUACCCUGCUUCAUUCCUGACCAUGGCAGGCCAGGUCUUAACAUUAUUGGUGAUUUUGGGUUGCCCAUCUUUGGAUUUGAGUGUAGUAAUGUCAUGCCACCUAUUUAGGGUACUGGGGGACUAUGGGGGGGGUGGGGGUUCUCCUCCCUUGCUGAUUGAUGCUGUAUAUAUCUGUCAUAUUUUUUUUCAGACUUUGCAAACUGCAGUUCUCUCUUGGGCACAUGCCCCUUUGAAGUAAGAAACUAAUUUAAUGAAUUAAAUUAAUUAAUUUACAGCUUUGGCACUAAAGCGCAGACUAAAGGUCAACAGCAUCUGCUGAUUUUGGAUGGUACAAACCACGACUGCCCUCCUAUUUUUUGUUUUCCUGAGAAUUUGGCAUUAUAUUGAGCUUUACCACAUGGCAACACAGGUCCUCCUGUCUCCGGCUGCAGCUUUGAACAUGCAGCUUUUCAUCAGACCGAUCCCAGGUCAGGCUGGAGGAUCAGGAAUAUGACCUGGAGCCCCAGCCCUUCCCUACUCACCUCUGGAAAUGCUAUAACCUGACCUCGCACAUGGCAGCACACAGCAAAUAACCAACAUGCUGAACAGGACAGAGGGCCCCUUGGCAUCUCCUGCCCUCUUGACAUUCAUCCUGAAGUAGAUCCAGCUGGUGGAGGAAAUCCAGCUGGAAAAUGAGCAUGCAGGGGUCGGUUAAAGGUAGAGGUAGUGGUGCAAGUUUCAUGCACAGAGCAGAGAGAGGGGUUGUCAGUCCAGGUGUGUGGGUUCUCUUACGGCAGCCGACGUGCAAUGCUGAUGACAUUGUUU
Molecule: long non-coding RNA, 1215 nt
Filed under: Taeniopygia guttata (zebra finch)
Lineage: Eukaryota; Metazoa; Chordata; Aves; Passeriformes; Estrildidae
Description: lncRNA (ENSTGUG00000023061.1)
Source: RNAcentral